This 581-nucleotide ribosomal RNA is filed under the name uncultured Roseovarius sp. Its description in RNAcentral is "bacterial SSU rRNA". It matches the Rfam family "Bacterial small subunit ribosomal RNA", at positions 328 to 927 of the family's 1533-position model. The record is from RNAcentral. Lineage: Bacteria; Pseudomonadati; Pseudomonadota; Alphaproteobacteria; Rhodobacterales; Roseobacteraceae.
UCUAGAGAUUCCUACGGGAGGCAGCAGUGGGGAAUCUUAGACAAUGGGGGCAACCCUGAUCUAGCCAUGCCGCGUGAGUGACGAAGGUCUUAGGAUCGUAAAGCUCUUUCGCCUGUGAAGAUAAUGACGGUAGCGGGUAAAGAAACCCCGGCUAACUCCGUGCCAGCAGCCGCGGUAAUACGGAGGGGGUUAGCGUUGUUCGGAAUUACUGGGCGUAAAGCGCGCGUAGGCGGAUUGGAAAGUUGGGGGUGAAAUCCCAGGGCUCAACCCCGGAACUGCCUCCAAAACUUCCAGUCUGGAGUUCGAGAGAGGUGAGUGGAAUUCCGAGUGUAGAGGUGAAAUUCGUAGAUAUUCGGAGGAACACCAGUGGCGAAGGCGGCUCACUGGCUCGAUACUGACGCUGAGGUGCGAAAGUGUGGGGAGCAAACAGGAUUAGAUACCCUGGUAGUCCACACCGUAAACGAUGAAUGCCAGUCGUCGGCAAGCAUGCUUGUCGGUGACACACCUAACGGAUUAAGCAUUCCGCCUGGGGAGUACGGCCGCAAGGUUAAAACUCAAAGGAAUUGACGGAAUCGUCGACC